GAAGGUGUGAGGAGUAAGUUGAAAACAGAAAGCGCCUGGAGUCGAAACACGGCAAGACGUCCAGGCGCUUUUUGCU
Scytonema millei VB511283 is the source of this 76-nucleotide non-coding RNA. NCBI's taxonomy places the organism in Bacteria, Bacillati, Cyanobacteriota, Cyanophyceae, Nostocales, Scytonemataceae. The record is from Rfam.